This 468-nucleotide ribosomal RNA is filed under the name uncultured bacterium. RNAcentral's name for it is "partial 16S ribosomal RNA". It matches the Rfam family "Bacterial small subunit ribosomal RNA", at positions 28 to 507 of the family's 1533-position model. The record is from RNAcentral.
GACGAACGCUGGCGGCGUGCUUAACACAUGCAAGUCGAACGGAAAGGCCCUGCUUUUGUGGGGUGCUCGAGUGGCGAACGGGUGAGUAACACGUGAGUAACCUGCCCUUCACUUUGGUAUAACUUCAGGAAACUGGGGCUAAUACCGUAUAGGAUCUCCUGCUGCAUGGUGGGGGUUGGAAAGUUUCGGCGGUUGGGGAUGGACUCGCGGCUUAUCAGCUUGUUGGUGGGGUAGUGGCUUACCAAGGCUUUGACGGGUAGCCAGCAUGAGAGGGUGACCGGCCACAUUGGGACUGAGAUACGGCGCAGACUCCUACGGGAGGCAGCAGUGGGGAAUAUUGCACAAUGGGCGGAAGCCUGAUGCAGCAACGCUGCGUGCGGGAUGACGGCCUUCGGGUUGUAAACCGCUUUCGCCUGUGACGAAGCGUGAGUGACGGUAAUGGGUAAAGAAGCACCGGCUAACUACGUG